Molecule: long non-coding RNA, 383 nt
Organism: Saimiri boliviensis boliviensis (Bolivian squirrel monkey)
Lineage: Eukaryota; Metazoa; Chordata; Mammalia; Primates; Cebidae
Source: RefSeq, a predicted model, not a curated record
UGGCAGAGAGGCGGCUGGCCCUGUGUCUGCACCCGGCUGGCGGAGGAGACCCCAAAGGCCAGGAAACAUGGAGGCACCAGCCUGCAAGGCUUUCUCAGCCUGAAAUUUCCCACCUUAAGUUACCUAAAGUCCAUACUUUGAAUGCCACCAAUUAGAGAAUUGCUGAAAAUACUGGGAAUUACUCCGCUUGCAAAAUGGAAUCUCCUCCUUCCUGAGAGAACCCUUUGUUUCUGGCAACUUUAGCUUGACCUGAAUACACAUCGGAGAUCUCCCUGUGAGCGACCUCAUGGCCUUCCAGAGCCCAGAAGGAUCCACUUCCUCAGGGAGGCUUCCCUCAGGUAGGCAACUACAGUUACUGAGAGAGAAGAGGCAGGGAGAACAGU